This 720-nucleotide ribosomal RNA is filed under the name Micromonospora sp. I12A-02014. RNAcentral's name for it is "bacterial SSU rRNA". It matches the Rfam family "Bacterial small subunit ribosomal RNA", at positions 81 to 816 of the family's 1533-position model. Lineage: Bacteria; Bacillati; Actinomycetota; Actinomycetes; Micromonosporales; Micromonosporaceae. The record is from RNAcentral.
UUCGGGGUACUCGAGCGGCGAACGGGUGAGUAACACGUGAGCAACCUGCCCUAGGCUUUGGGAUAACCCCGGGAAACCGGGGCUAAUACCGAAUAUGACCACCGGCCGCAUGGCUGGUGGUGGAAAGUUUUUCGGCCUGGGAUGGGCUCGCGGCCUAUCAGCUUGUUGGUGGGGUGAUGGCCUACCAAGGCGACGACGGGUAGCCGGCCUGAGAGGGCGACCGGCCACACUGGGACUGAGACACGGCCCAGACUCCUACGGGAGGCAGCAGUGGGGAAUAUUGCACAAUGGGCGGAAGCCUGAUGCAGCGACGCCGCGUGAGGGAUGACGGCCUUCGGGUUGUAAACCUCUUUCAGCAGGGACGAAGCGAAAGUGACGGUACCUGCAGAAGAAGCACCGGCCAACUACGUGCCAGCAGCCGCGGUAAGACGUAGGGUGCGAGCGUUGUCCGGAUUUAUUGGGCGUAAAGAGCUCGUAGGCGGCUUGUCGCGUCGACUGUGAAAACCCGCAGCUCAACUGCGGGCCUGCAGUCGAUACGGGCAGGCUAGAGUUCGGUAGGGGAGACUGGAAUUCCUGGUGUAGCGGUGAAAUGCGCAGAUAUCAGGAGGAACACCGAUGGCGAAGGCAGGUCUCUGGGCCGAUACUGACGCUGAGGAGCGAAAGCGUGGGGAGCGAACAGGAUUAGAUACCCUGGUAGUCCACGCUGUAAACGUUGGGCGC